UUUAGGGAAAUGACUCCUUGGAACUUAUUUUAAUACGAAGCAGGGACAGGUUAUGAAUAUGUACAGGCGUAUUGUGAAACUUCAUGCAUACGUAACUCUUUACUGCAUAUAACCAAGGCGAGCUGCCGCAUCAGGUGCGCACGACUUUGGCGGGACUACCCCCCGUGCUGCCCAGCGCUGAAUAAACAUACCUACUUUAAAAUCUUACCGAUUGUGGAGUCCGUUUUCCGCAAAUCAAUCCCACGAA
Cygnus olor (mute swan) is the source of this 247-nucleotide long non-coding RNA. RefSeq lists it as uncharacterized. The record is from RefSeq and is a predicted model, not a curated record. NCBI's taxonomy places the organism in Eukaryota, Metazoa, Chordata, Aves, Anseriformes, Anatidae. The transcript has 3 exons.